RNAcentral lists this long non-coding RNA (443 nucleotides) under Homo sapiens (human). RNAcentral describes it as "non-protein coding lnc-SPICE1-2:1". The record is from RNAcentral. Lineage: Eukaryota; Metazoa; Chordata; Mammalia; Primates; Hominidae.
AACAAUUUCCAGCACUGCCUGAAGUCUGGUCCCGGAAGUUGUCAAAAAACGACUCAGACUAACUAGAUUUAUGCAGAAGGCAUUUCUUUCCACCCCAGCCUCUUACCUACUUUACCAUUGCAAUGACUUCUUCCAGAUUCUGAGAGAAACCCCAGGAUUGUUUUUUUAAAGGCAGAAACCACAGCCUAUCGUAAAAAGGAAAUACUUUUCUGAUAAAAAUUAGGGGAUUAGAUUUAAAGAGUUAAAGAGGCAGGUAAGGAGCAGGGUGAGAAUGGGGCCAUCAGAAGACCUUGCAGAACAUUGAACAAUCACAAUUUACGUGUGGAAGAGAACUCACUGUUUUAUUUCAGCUUCAUUACUGUAUACUAUAAAAGAAUGUAAUUGUGUUCAACCUGAAGGACCAUUUAAAAAGAAGUCAUUAAGAAGGAAAAGAUCUUUUUCAA